Molecule: ribosomal RNA, 318 nt
Filed under: uncultured bacterium
Lineage: Bacteria
Description: bacterial SSU rRNA
Rfam family: Bacterial small subunit ribosomal RNA
Source: RNAcentral
GAUGAACGCUAGCUACAGGCUUAACACAUGCAAGUCGAGGGGCAGCAUGGGCUUAGCUUGCUAAGCCCGAUGGCGACCGGCGCACGGGUGAGUAACACGUAUCCAACCUGCCGAUCACUCCGGUACAGCCUUUCGAAAGAAAGAUUAAUCCCGGAUGGCAUGGCGAUUCCGCAUGGUUUCUCCAUUAAAGGUUUUUUCCGGUUGAUCGAUGGGGAUGCGUUCCAUUAGGCAGUUGGCGGGGUAACGGCCCACCAAACCUACGAUGGAUAGGGGAACUGAGAGGUUUAUCCCCCACAUUGGUACUGAGACACGGACCAA